This is a long non-coding RNA of Alexandromys fortis (reed vole), 3702 nucleotides long. RefSeq lists it as uncharacterized. Lineage: Eukaryota; Metazoa; Chordata; Mammalia; Rodentia; Cricetidae. The transcript is spliced from 3 exons. The record is from RefSeq and is a predicted model, not a curated record.
UCCAGGUGGUAGAACCACUUCUGUUUCAAAGAUGGACUGGGGAAAGACAUUAAGUUUGGAGCAGCUCAGGGCUACGGAUUUAGCCUUUCUCCCUCGGGUCUCCAGACUCACUUAGGUCCAAGCUGCGGAGCAGGGACAGCGGAGCUCAGGCAGCCACGCUCAGGCCCAGCCACCAGGUAGGAGAACCCGAUCCAACUCUAGGCUCGGAGAAGGGCAAGCCAGGCCGCACCGGGAUCCGGCCCCGGGACCGCAGAAUCUAUGUGGACCUGGUUGACCUGGAACUUGCUAAGAGACCAGGAUGGCCUUGAAUUUACAGUGAUCUACCUGCCACUGUCUCCCGGUUGCUGAGAUUAAAGCUGCUGAGAACCAGAAGGCGCCGGCUCCUUUGAAAGAGCCUUCCCCUAGAUUGCUUUGCCACUGCUCUGGAUCCCCUUGAACAGUGGUCCCUGAACACCGACUUCAAGAAGACUCCAUGGAUGGCUGUCCAGUCUUAUCCACUGCAGUUUCCCCUCUGCAUUUCCUUCUUCACUUCCUUCACCCCAGUGAGGCACGCAGUAGGGGCAGAUCAUAGAUGAAGCAGCAGACAACAGGUUGAAGGACUGACCUCUGAGAGUGCCAACAGUCAACAGUGUGCUGUCAGAUCCAGAGAUAAGAAGAAAACGUGUUAUGUGGAAGGGGGAGAACAGUCUGAUAGUUCUUUAGAGGCUGAGAGUGAGGAACGGUCAAAUUUGGGAGAAUUACGGCAGGGCUCCUGUGUUGUCCCUACUGGGUUAUGUAAUCUGAGUGUUCCUGCUCGACUGUGAUUGAGAGAGGCUGUAUGUUCCCGUGGUCCUGCUCAGCGCUUGUCCUUUAAUAAGAGACAACACCCAUUAGUCUCUAUAUUGUUUCUCUGCACUUUUUAUCUGGGAGACAUUGACUAUCUUGUAGGAUAAAAGUCCAUGGUAAGAAGAGUUCAAACCCUCAUGAACUUUUUGUCUGUAGACCAGGUGGUGACAUCAUGUUUUGAGUUAAUUAGAGCAACGGAAUCACAGGGUGGGACUGAAUUCAUUGGAAAUAUUUGAUUGAAACAUGGCAUUGCUAAUUAUGCAUCAGAGAACAUUAUGGAACAUGAUUGGAUUCAUGAAGCACACACUCCUGGUCAUAUGUAGCAACCUAGCAACCAGCUAAAUACAGCAUAGACUCUUCAGAGACUAGGAGAGGUAGACAUGGUUCUUUUCCCAUGGAGCUUACACAUUUGAAAAGCAGCCGCUAUCACAUGUGAGCUGCCGCAGAGAUGUUCUUGAGCACAGGCCUCUAGUGGGGGAGGAGUUCCUAGUGCUGGAGUCGUCAUGGUCACUGGCCAAGUACCUCUAAGCCUACAUUUUAUAACCAGUCUGUGAAUGCAGACUGCUAUUUUCUAGCAAAAGUCCAGGGAUGGCAGGGGAAGUGCUUGAGAUGUACAGGGCUUCUGGAGUGGGAAAUAUGAAAUUAUUUUUACCAGGAAAACAAAAAGGGAUAGGAUUCAGAACCAACUGUUGCUUCUAUUCUAUGGGGGAAACUACAGUAUGAAAUAUGCUGGGCUGGGAAACUUCGACGCCUUGGUUUUAGUACCUUCUUUCCUUUUCUUCCUUCCUUCCCUUCUUCCUCCCUCCCUCCCUUCUUCCUCUCUCUCUCUCCCUUCUUCCUUCCUUCUUUCCUCCCUUCCCCUUCCUCCCUCCCUGCCUUCUUCCUUCCCUCUUUCCUUUCCUCCCUCCCUCCCUUCCCCCUCCCCUUCCUCCCUCCCUCUUUCUUUUCCUUUCCCUUCCCUCCCUCCCCUUUUCUUCCUCCCCCCUCUCUCUCUCCCUCCUUCCUUCCUGCCUUCCUUCCUUUUCUUCUUCCUUUUUCUUCCUCCUCCUCCUCCUCCUCCUCCUCCUCCUCCUCCUCCUCCUCCCCCUCUUCUUCUCCUCCUCCUCCUCUUCUUCUCCUCCUCCUCCUACAAAAAAGCCAUGUGACUGUAAGCAAGCCAUUUCCCAUUCCCUGCAGAUAUCUCUUGAGAGGCUGUAAACCCCUUCUAGCUCAGAAAGUCUUAACAUCAGGCCCUCAGGCUACAGUGGUCAGUUUCAAAACACCCUGCCCUCAGUUGCUGGAUCAUAUAUAUUCAGCAGUUAUAUAAACCUUUUAUUUUUUUGAGGGAAUAUCUGUUUUAUCAAUUUUUAUUUUUGGUUUUCGAGGCAGGAUUUCUCUGUAGCUUUGGAACCUGUCCUAAAACUAGCUCUUGUAGACCAGACUGGCCUUGAACUUACAGAAAUCCUCCUGCCUUUGCCUCCUGAGUGCUGGGAUUAAAGGCAUGCGCCACCACCACCUGGCUUUGUUGUAUCAGUUUUUAAGUACGUGUCAAGUUCUUUUCUGGAGUUAAGAGGAUGCUAACUCUAUGUCCUCCUUCAUGUUGCCUGCUGCCUUUGCUCCUGUCCUUUGUUCCCAUCCCCAUGGAACUUAUGCUCUGUAUGUAUGUAUGUAUGGUCAGGCGUGUAUUGGCUUUGGAGGUACACGAUGAACCUCACUUUUCCAGAGAGUCUUCCCUUUCCUUUUACCUUCUGACAUUUUCUUUAGAGGGAACCAGUUGCAGUGUGCUGUGGCACCCCACCCUUGAGGUAACCACCUGCAAGCAAGUGCCUCAUACUGACUAAGCAAUUUUGUUGAACCCUAAGAUUCAUAUCCAAGUAACCACUCAAAUCCAGGGUUACCACAAAGAGAACUUUCUCCAGGUAUAAGGAAGAGAAAUCUUUUACUUCCAGGAUAUGUGCAGAAAGACCACCUUCCAGCCUGUGUAGAACAAUCAAUAUGCUACUCCCUACAGGCCAUCCUUGACCAGGUAGAGAGAAUCUAAACCCAAAAUACUUCUCCAUAAAUAGAUAGACUUCCUACACACUGUAUUUCUCUGUAUCAUCCCAAUGGCUUGUCACUUCUCAAAAAAAAAAAAAAUGGAAAAAUGCUAAUCAGACAAAAAUGUUGCUGUGAUCUCUGACCUCAUUGGGAAUCCUUUUAGCAAUUUCUCAUUUCUAUUUCAUUAUCAACAAGUCCACUGAAUACUUGUCUCUAAAUCCAGGACAUAUUUUAUGGAUACAUAAAACAAUGAAAUUUCAUGUUCAGAGCUGUUGACAUAUACUAUUUGUUUCGAAUAUUUUUAUUGUAAGGAAUGACUUAGCAUUUCAUUUUAAUGACCUAAGUGGUAAAAUGAAUGACUCUUGACUUUCAAUUUUCUUUUUCUGUUAAAGUCAAGUAAUAUGCACCUCUGGUAAUGUCUAUCUUUUUCUAUGAAUUAUAGGCUCUAAAUGUCUGUGUUGCCUUUCUUUUUUCUUUAAAUUGCAACACAAUUUUUUUUUAAAAAAAUAGUUUAUUUUUAUUUUUUCUGCACUGGUGUUUUGCUUGUGUGUAUAUCUGUAUGAGCAUAUAGGGUCCUCUUGAACUGGAGUUGUAGACAGUUGUGAGCUAACAUGUGGAUGCUAGGAAUUGAACCCAAGUCCUCUGGAAGAGCAGUCAGUGCUCUUAACUGCUGAACCAUCUCCCCAACCCCUUUAUUGUGUUUCUUUAUGUAGGUGUUUAUCAGUACUAAGGAUAAUAUUUGUUUUUUCUUCUUGUCUUUAUUUUCUACCUAGCAGUUAUAUAAAAGACAGUAUAAAAUUUAUGAAAUAGACUUUUCUGAUAGGAGUUAGAGAAAUAAGGGGCCAAGAUAAACAAAACAAA